UUGACCUCAAAUCAGGUAGGACUACCCGCUGAACUUAAGCAUAUCAAUAAGCGGAGGAAAAGAAACUAACAAGGAUUCCCCUAGUAACUGCGAGUGAAGCGGGAAGAGCUCAAUUUUGAAUCUGGCGGUCUUUGGCCGUCCGAGUUGUAAUCUAGAGAAGUGUCUUCCGCGCUGACG
RNAcentral lists this ribosomal RNA (177 nucleotides) under Imleria badia. RNAcentral's name for it is "Xerocomus badius partial 25S ribosomal RNA". It matches the Rfam family "Eukaryotic large subunit ribosomal RNA", at positions 1 to 175 of the family's 3401-position model. Lineage: Eukaryota; Fungi; Basidiomycota; Agaricomycetes; Boletales; Boletaceae. The record is from RNAcentral.